AUAAUAAUAAUGCUGAUCCUCCAGGAUAUUAAGGGGGUGUUUGGCCUAACUUUUAAAAAGCAUUUUUGAGCUGAAAAGUGAUUUUCGGUUCAAUAGAGUGUUUGACAACUCACUUUUAAAAUUUGAUUCUGCUUUUUAGAAUCAGAAAACUGAUUUUGAAGGCUCCAGAAUCAGAAGCAGAAAAAAGCUGCUUCUUGAAAUCUGAUUCUGAUUUCAGAUUUAAAUUUCAAAUUUUUAUUUUUAUUUUAAUUUCAAUAUUUAAAUUUAAAUUUAAAUUUAAUUUUUAAAUUUCAUAUUUAUUUUUGAAUUUUUAAAUUUUAACUUUUAAAUUUUAAAAUUUGAAAAAUAGAUUUCAAAUUUUACAUUUUAAAUUUUAAAUUUUAAUUUUAAAUUUCAAAUCUCAAAUUUUAGAUUUUCAAAUUUCAAAUUUCAAAUUUCAGAUAAAAUUUAAAAUUUGACAUUUUAGAUUUUAAAAUUUAAAUGUAAAAAUUUAAAAUUAUAAUUUUUAAUCUUCAAAUUAUAAAUUUUAAAAAAUUAAAAUUUGAAUAUUUAAAAUUUUAAAUAUUCAAAUUUUAAAUUUUAAAUUUUAAAUAUUCAAAUUUAAAUUUUAAAUUUUAAAUAUUCAAAUUUUAAAUUUUAAAUUUUAAAUAUUCAAUUUUUAAAUUUUAAAUUUUAAAUAUUCAAAUUUUAAAUUUUAAAUUUUAAUUCAUAAUUAUUUUAAAUUUAAAUUUUAAAAUUUAAUUUUUAAAUUUAAAAUUUAUAUAUUUUAAAUAUUAAUAUUUUAUAUUUCAUAAUUAUUUAUAUUUUAACAUUUAAUUUUAAAUUUUAAAUUUUAAAUUCUAAAUUUAAAGUUUGAAAUUUUAAUUUUAAUUUAUAUUUUUAUAUAUUAAAAUUUUAUAUUUUAAAAUUCAUAAUUAUAUAUAUUUUUAAAUUUAUAUUUAUAUUUUUAAAUUUUAAAUUUCAUAAUUAUUUUAAAAUUUAAAGUUGUAAAAAUUUAAAUUAUUUUUAAAAUUAAAAUAUCAAAAUUUAAAUUUUGUACAAUUUUGAAAUUUAAAAAUUUUAAUUUUAAUUGAAAUUUAAAUUUAGAUUUUAAAUUAUUUUAAAAUAAAUUUAAUAAAAAUAUUAAUUUAUACAAAAUCAAAAAAAAUUUGCCAAACAGUUUUUCAAAAUCACUAUAGAAAAAUUAUUUUUAUCUAAACUUCGCCAAACGUUCUACAGCUUUUAACCAAAAUCACUUCUCCAAACCAAAAUCACUUUUUCAUAAAUCACUUUUUCAUAAGCUCGGCCAAACAGACCCUAACACACCUUUAAAAUAUGACUUGAGUUUUACACUUGAUUCAUCGGCAGAUAAAUACUUAUUUUAUAUUAAUUAGUAGUGAUAUGUAGAACCGUUUGUAACCAUGAGAUGAGCAAUUAUGAAAUUGGUAAACUAACACUAAAUAAUUACCAUAGGUGCUAUUUAGGAGGCUAAGUUUUAGGAAAAAAGAAAAAGAACUUCCUAAAAACGAAGAAGAAGAAGAAGAAGAAGAAAUGAUAUUAGCUAGAAUUUCCAAAGUGGGUAAGAAGUGGAUUUGAAUGAUCUUAUUAGGUUGGUGAAUAUAUGGAUCACAUUUUGACUUUUGAAAAAUUACUACAGAUUUAGUUUUGCUGUACCUUUUGCCAAAGAGUGGCUUUUUUUAUUUUGAGAGAUAGGUAGCACGCCACCCGUUUCAUUUAUUUCAUUUAAAAAUAAAUUUAGCUGAAAAUGUAAAUUAAUUAGGAUUCAAACUUGAGAUCUCGAAUAUCAACCACCAAGUCUUUUGUCACUUGCCAAAGAGUGGCUUGAUUUGGUUAAUGAAGCACUAAAUAAC
Molecule: long non-coding RNA, 1850 nt
Filed under: Ananas comosus (pineapple)
Lineage: Eukaryota; Viridiplantae; Streptophyta; Magnoliopsida; Poales; Bromeliaceae
Description: long non-coding RNA (ACOM_LNC004042)
Source: RNAcentral